RNAcentral lists this non-coding RNA (45 nucleotides) under Echinostoma caproni. The record is from RNAcentral. Lineage: Eukaryota; Metazoa; Platyhelminthes; Trematoda; Plagiorchiida; Echinostomatidae.
GCACUGCUGACGAGUUCGACACAGAACGAAACGGUUGUCCAGUGC